CCCUCUUGCAAUGGGCAAAGAGACACCUUGGUGGUGGUGGUGAUCUAUCAGUCAGGGGCAAAGCAGAUGCCAGUCCUUUGUUCAUCCCAGUUUGAUGCCUGGCACGGUGACAAAGCUGUCUUAUGCCUAGGACUCAUAA
This is a small nucleolar RNA of Grammomys surdaster, 139 nucleotides long. RefSeq annotates it as small nucleolar RNA SNORA48. The record is from RefSeq and is a predicted model, not a curated record. NCBI's taxonomy places the organism in Eukaryota, Metazoa, Chordata, Mammalia, Rodentia, Muridae. The transcript has a single exon.